Long non-coding RNA from Cyprinus carpio carpio, 1557 nucleotides. Lineage: Eukaryota; Metazoa; Chordata; Actinopteri; Cypriniformes; Cyprinidae. The record is from Ensembl.
GAUUUUUCCGGGCAAAGCUAUCAUUUGACUUCAGAGCACCUAUAGGAAAAUACAGGGUUUUUCAUGUGGACCAGUUUUAUGAUCCUUCUCUUUAGUGCUUCUGCAUCGUCUUUGAAGUUUGGGAGCCUCAGUUCCAGUGGAGACUAAUUGCAUGGAGAAGAGCAGUAAAGUGCUUUGAAAAAAUUCAUACAGGUUUGGAGUGUUAUGCGGGCCUGCUGCAGUUCUCUCCCUUUUCACUCUCACUGAAGCCCCAGACAGAAGCUCCCUGGAGACCUUCCCUUCUUGUUUAAACCUGACACAAAUUCCACGUCACAGUACCCAGAGUGACGACGCUUGCAGGCACAAAAGCAAAUAUUUCCUUUCCUGGUUGUACCCAACCACCUCUACACGUCCCCACCGACACCUGACCCCUCCCUUUCCUCACCAGUUCCAGCACUGCAGGCCGGCCAUUUGUCACAAAGCCCUGGCUCUCUCCGACAGCGUCUCUCAUGCCUCCUACAGACUUGCAUCGAAAAGCUCCUUGUAUUAGCAUUGUGAUGAGGAUAUACCGUCGGAUAGCUGCUGAAUUUGAUAAACUCUGAGUGUGGUGCAAUAUAAAGGAAUGAGGCUGUAACUUCCUGAGGGUGUGUAAUCCAACUGACCGUUUUGAUUAUUCCGAGAGAAAGUGCGGGGGUUGUGUUGAAUUACAUUGUGAAUGCAGAACACUCAAAGUUCACUUGAUUCUUACAUUUGCAUAAUUUCUAAUCUUUUUGGCUGUUCUAAGUUACCAUGCGGAUGUUAUAAUGACAUGCAACAAGACGUCCUGCAUUUUCUAUUUAUAAGGAAUGGCAGUCUUUGUUGGUGCAGUUGAAACAAAUGGAGAAAGUCAUGUAAUGUUUUGGGGGGCAAUGAGCUGAAUCAGCCUCUGUUAGACGGCCUGGCCGGAGGAUGGAUGGAAGAGGACUUCUGGAUGCUGGUGGGCUGGGUUCAACUCCGAACUGAGAGGAUUUGAAGCCGUGUUUUGUUCCAGUAAGGUCCGAUCCCAGUAGAAAGAAAGUCACAGAUUUGGGACAACAUGAGGCCACCAACGGAGGGCGAUGUUUCCCAUGAAAUGAAUCGUUCCUCUUCAUCUAUGAAGCUAAAUGGAAAGAAUGUCAACAAGGUUGUUUCCCCUGCUCAUAAACUGCUUCCAGAUUACCAUACUUUCACAAUAUGCACUCAAAUCGUUGAUGAAGUCCUUAUUUCUUGACGGAUGAUGACGUAUGCUCUGUAUUUAUUGAGGUGUGUAGCAUAAAUAGGUUCUCAUGUUGGCAUUUUCCUUUGACCUGUAUUUUUUGAGCCAUCACGUUAUUGUUUUUCUGCCUUAUUAAAAUGUUUACUGUGACAGCUAUAAUAAAAUAAUAAAAAUAAUAUAUAUAAUAAAAUUCAAGUUAAAAAAAAACUCAGCAUAUAUUAUCCAAACCAUUUUAUUACAUGAACUCAAUGAAUAUAUCACAAAAUACAAAAUAUAUUUCAUAUUUCAUAAUUCACCAGUCUUCUGUAUAGGCGGACACAAGCAGAACCUUUUCAAAGGAUAAA